RNAcentral lists this transfer RNA (68 nucleotides) under Crossobamon orientalis. RNAcentral describes it as "tRNA-Pro". The record is from RNAcentral. Lineage: Eukaryota; Metazoa; Chordata; Lepidosauria; Squamata; Gekkonidae.
CAAAAAAUAGUUUAAGUACAAAAUUCUAGUUUUGGGGACUAGAGAUGGGCGUGUCGUCUCUUUUUUGA